GGAGUUAGCCGGUGCUUCUUCUGUGAGUGAUGUCCUUCCUGCCGGUUAUUGACCCGCAGGCCUUCUUCCUCACUGAAAGUGCUUUACAACCCGAAGGCCUUCUUCACACACGCGGCAUGGCUGGAUCAGGGUUGCCCCCAUUGUCCAAUAUUCCCCACUGCUGCCUCCCGUAGGAGUCUGGGCCGUGUCUCAGUCCCAGUGUGGCUGAUCAUCCUCUCAGACCAGCUACGGAUCGUCGCCUUGGUGAGCCGUUACCUCACCAACCAGCUAAUCCGACAUAGGCUCAUCCGAUAGCGCGAGGCCCGAAGGUCCCCCGCUUUCCCCCGUAGGGCGUAUGCGGUAUUAGCCUGGGUUUCCCCAGGGUUAUCCCCCACUACCGGGCAGAUUCCUAUGCAUUACUCACCCGUCCGCCGCUCGCCACCAGGGAGCAAGCUCCCCGUGCUGCCGCUCGACUUGCAUGUGUUAGGCCUGCCGCCAGCGUUCAAUCUGAGCCAUAAUCAAACUCUGA
This 508-nucleotide ribosomal RNA is filed under the name uncultured bacterium. RNAcentral describes it as "partial 16S ribosomal RNA". The record is from RNAcentral.